UCUCCGUUGGUGAACCAGCGGAGGGAUCAUUACCGAGUUUACAACUCCCAAACCCCUGUGAACAUACCAUUUGUUGCCUCGGCGGUGCCUGCUUCGGCAGCCCGCCAGAGGACCCAAACCCUUGAUUUUAUACAGUAUCUUCUGAGUAAAUGAUUAAAUAAAUCAAAACUUCCAACAACGGAUCUCUUGGUUCUG
This 195-nucleotide unclassified non-coding RNA is filed under the name plant metagenome. Its description in RNAcentral is "partial contains small subunit ribosomal RNA, internal transcribed spacer 1, and 5.8S ribosomal RNA". The record is from RNAcentral.